ACAUGCAAGUCGAACGGUAGCACAGAGGAGCUUGCUCCUUGGGUGACGAGUGGCGGACGGGUGAGUAAUGUCUGGGAAACUGCCCGAUGGAGGGGGAUAACUACUGGAAACGGUAGCUAAUACCGCAUAACGUCGCAAGACCAAAGAGGGGGACCUUCGGGCCUCUUGCCAUCGGAUGUGCCCAGAUGGGAUUAGCUAGUAGGUGGGGUAACGGCUCACCUAGGCGACGAUCCCUAGCUGGUCUGAGAGGAUGACCAGCCACACUGGAACUGAGACACGGUCCAGACUCCUACGGGAGGCAGCAGUGGGGAAUAUUGCACAAUGGGCGCAAGCCUGAUGCAGCCAUGCCGCGUGUAUGAAGAAGGCCUUCGGGUUGUAAAGUACUUUCAGCGAGGAGGAAGGCGUUGUGGUUAAUAACCGCAACGAUUGACGUUACUCGCAGAAGAAGCACCUGCUAACUCCGUGCCAGCCGCCGCGGUAAAAGGG
Molecule: ribosomal RNA, 486 nt
Filed under: uncultured Enterobacterales bacterium
Lineage: Bacteria; Pseudomonadati; Pseudomonadota; Gammaproteobacteria; Enterobacterales
Description: bacterial SSU rRNA
Rfam family: Bacterial small subunit ribosomal RNA
Source: RNAcentral